CCUACGGGUGGCAGCAGUGGGGACUAUUGCACAAUGGGGGAAACCCUGAUGCAGCGACGCCGCGUGAGUGAUGAAGUAUUUCGGUAUGUAAAGCUCUAUCAGCAGGGAAGAAACUCACGGUACCUGAUUAAUAAGCCCCGGCUAACGACGUGCCAGCAGCCGAGGUCAUCCGUAGGGGGCAAGCGUUAUCCGGAUUUACUGGGGGUAAAGGGGGCGUAGGCGGCAGCACCAGUCUGGAGUGAAAUGCCGGGGCUUAACCCCGGAACUGCUUUGGAAACUGGGCAGCUAGAGUGCAGGAGAGGCAAGUGGAAUUCCUAGUGUAGCGGCGAAAUGCGUAGAUAUUAGGAGGAACACCAGUGGCGAAGGCGGCUUGCUGGACUGUAACUGACACUGAGGCUCGAAAGCGUGGGGAGCAAACAGGAUGAGAUACCCGUGUAGUC
This 440-nucleotide ribosomal RNA is filed under the name uncultured bacterium. RNAcentral describes it as "partial 16S ribosomal RNA". It matches the Rfam family "Bacterial small subunit ribosomal RNA", at positions 338 to 795 of the family's 1533-position model. The record is from RNAcentral.